RNAcentral lists this ribosomal RNA (343 nucleotides) under Mycoplasma sp. BHJA. RNAcentral's name for it is "bacterial SSU rRNA". It matches the Rfam family "Bacterial small subunit ribosomal RNA", at positions 530 to 873 of the family's 1533-position model. Lineage: Bacteria; Bacillati; Mycoplasmatota; Mollicutes; Mycoplasmatales; Mycoplasmataceae. The record is from RNAcentral.
GGAUGCAAGCGUUAUCCGGAUUUACUGGGCGUAAAGCGAGCGCAGGCGGAUUUACAAGUCUGAUGUUAAAGACAACUGCUUAACGGUUGUUUGCAUUGGAAACUGUAAGUCUAGAGUAUAGUAGAGAGUUUUGGAACUCCAUGUGGAGCGGUGGAAUGCGUAGAUAUAUGGAAGAACACCAGAGGCGAAGGCGAAAACUUAGGCUAUAACUGACGCUUAGGCUCGAAAGUGUGGGGAGCAAAUAGGAUUAGAUACCCUAGUAGUCCACACCGUAAACGAUGGUAAUUAAAUGUCGGCACGGCAAUGUGUCGGUAUUACAGCUAACGCAUUAAAUUACCCGCUA